CACGUACUGUGCGAACGUUAUUCGGAAUCACUGGGCUUAAAGGGUGCGUAGGCGGCUAAUUAAGUAGGGUGUGAAAGCUCUCGGCUCAACCGAGGAAUUGCGCUCUAAACUGGUUAGCUUGAGUGAGAUAGGGGUGUGCGGAACUUCCGGUGGAGCGGUGAAAUGUGUUGAUAUCGGAAGGAACACCAGUAGCGAAAGCGGCACGCUGGGUCUCUACUGACGCUGAGGCACGAAAGCUAGGGUAGCGAACGGG
This 253-nucleotide ribosomal RNA is filed under the name uncultured bacterium. RNAcentral's name for it is "partial 16S ribosomal RNA". It matches the Rfam family "Bacterial small subunit ribosomal RNA", at positions 524 to 776 of the family's 1533-position model. The record is from RNAcentral.